Long non-coding RNA from Trachemys scripta elegans, 298 nucleotides. RefSeq lists it as uncharacterized. The transcript has 4 exons. Lineage: Eukaryota; Metazoa; Chordata; Testudines; Emydidae. The record is from RefSeq and is a predicted model, not a curated record.
CAUCACACUGCAAAGGAUUGGUGAAUGGCCCUAUCACACUUUGGAAAUGCUAAAUGCAAAGAAGCUCGCUCGCUCAUGGACUGGAAGGCCAAAUGUAAAAGAAUGAACAGCAGCCUCAGAGGUCAAAUAGUCUUUCUUGCUGAAGAAUGGACUGCACAUGGAACACGGGAUCUGAAAAUGGAAGACAAGUACAACUGAAGUUCCUUCUGGGCUACUAAAAGGGAAAUUGUCUGCUGGGAAAUGGGAUCAAAUUUUAACAAGAACAGCCGUGACAGCUCCAGUCCAUCACUUAACAUCU